Molecule: ribosomal RNA, 299 nt
Filed under: uncultured fungus
Lineage: Eukaryota; Fungi
Description: partial 18S ribosomal RNA
Rfam family: Eukaryotic small subunit ribosomal RNA
Source: RNAcentral
AGCAAUUUGUACUGUGAAACUGCGAAUGGCUCAUUAAAUCAGUUAUCGUUUAUUUGAUAGUACCUUACUACAUGGAUACCUGUGGUAAUUCUAGAGCUAAUACAUGCUAAAAACCUCGACUUCGGAAGGGGUGUAUUUAUUAGAUAAAAAACCAAUGCCCUUCGGGGCUCCUUGGUGAAUCAUAAUAACUUAGCGAAUCGCAUGGCCUUGCGCCAGCGAUGGUUCAUUCAAAUUUCUGCCCUAUCAACUUUCGAUGGUAGGAUAGUGGCCUACCAUGGUGGCAACGGGUAACGGGGAAU